AUUGAACGCUGGCGGCAUGCCUUACACAUGCAAGUCGAACGGUAACAGGUCUUCGGCUGCUGCCGAGUGGCGAACGGGUGAGUAAUACAUCGGAACGUGCCCGAUCGUGGGGGAUAACGAAGCGAAAGCUUUGCUAAUACCGCAUAAGAUCUACGGAUGAAAGCAGGGGACCGCAAGGCCUUGCGCGAACGGAGCGGCCGAUGGCAGAUUAGGUAGUUGGUGGGAUAAAAGCUUACCAAGCCGACGAUCUGUAGCUGGUCUGAGAGGACGACCAGCCACACUGGGACUGAGACACGGCCAAGACUCCUACGGGAGGCAGCAGUGGGGAAUUUUGGACAAUGGGCGAAAGCCUGAUCCAGCCAUGCCGCGUGCAGGAUGAAGGCCUUCGGGUUGUAAACUGCUUUUGUACGGAACGAAAAGACUCUGGUUAAUACCUGGGGUCCAUGACGGUACCGUAAGAAUAAGCACCGGCUAACUACGUG
This 482-nucleotide ribosomal RNA is filed under the name uncultured bacterium. Its description in RNAcentral is "partial 16S ribosomal RNA". It matches the Rfam family "Bacterial small subunit ribosomal RNA", at positions 30 to 507 of the family's 1533-position model. The record is from RNAcentral.